AACGCACAUUGCGCCCUUUGGUAUUCCUUAGGGCAUGCCUGUUCGAGCGUCAUUUAAACCUUCAAGCUCAGCUUGGUGAUGGGUGACUGUCCCCUCCCUUCGCGGGGGGACUCGCCUCAAAAACAUUGGCGGCCGGUACAUUGGCUUCGAGCGCAGCAGAAACGCGGUCUCGAGCCCGGUGGAUCGGCUCCCAAAAGCCUCAUUCUUUAUUUUGACCUCGGAUCAGGUAGGGAUACCCGCUGAACUUAA
Molecule: unclassified non-coding RNA, 249 nt
Filed under: uncultured Pleosporales
Lineage: Eukaryota; Fungi; Ascomycota; Dothideomycetes; Pleosporales
Description: sequence contains 5.8S rRNA gene, ITS2, 28S rRNA gene
Source: RNAcentral